Molecule: ribosomal RNA, 397 nt
Filed under: uncultured bacterium
Lineage: Bacteria
Description: partial 16S ribosomal RNA
Rfam family: Bacterial small subunit ribosomal RNA
Source: RNAcentral
AUAUUGUACUAUGGAGGGAACUCUGAUGCAGCAACGCCGCGUGAGUUAAGAAGGUUUUCGGAUCGUAAAACUCUGUCAUUGGGGAAGAAUAAAUGACGGUACCCAAUGAGCAAGCCACGGCGAACUACGUGCUAGCAGCCGCGGUAAGACGUAGGGGGCGAGCGUUGUCCGGAAUUACUGGGCGUAAAGGGGACGUAGGCGGCUAUAUAAGUCAGGUGUGAAAUACCAGUGCUUAAAACUGGAAUUGCAUUUGAAACUGUGUAGCUUGAGUGCAGGAGAGGAAAGUGGAAUUCCUAGUGUAGCGGUGAAAUGCGUAGAGAUUAGGAGGAACACCAGUGGCGAAGGCGACUUUCUGGACUGUAACUGACGCUGAGGUACGAAAGAGUGGGUAGCGAAC